UACGGAGGGUCCAAGCGUUAUCCGGAAUCAUUGGGUUUAAAGGGUCCGUAGGCGGUUUUGUAAGUCAGUGGUGAAAGCCCAUCGCUCAACGGUGGAACGGCCAUUGAUACUGCAAGACUUGAAUUAUUGGGAAGUAACUAGAAUAUGUAGUGUAGCGGUGAAAUGCUUAGAGAUUACAUGGAAUACCAAUUGCGAAGGCAGGUUACUACCAAUAUAUUGACGCUGAUGGACGAAAGCGUGGGGAUCAAACAGG
RNAcentral lists this ribosomal RNA (253 nucleotides) under uncultured bacterium. RNAcentral describes it as "partial 16S ribosomal RNA". It matches the Rfam family "Bacterial small subunit ribosomal RNA", at positions 524 to 776 of the family's 1533-position model. The record is from RNAcentral.